CGGUGGACCAUGCUUCAGCACAGGAGCCUCUGGUGGACACGCAAGCUCCGCAUGAUAGCUGUGACUUCCUGCUGACCUCAUAAGCACAGCCUCCUUCCUGCCGGCUCUCACAACGGGGGACCAGAAGGCCAUUCACUGCUCUGUCAACGCUCUCUUACAUUCUGAUGACAUCAGUGGAUGGACUUGACCAGUCUGAGUUGGGCCAUGUGGGAGAGCGGAAGGGGCAGAGGAACAAUAUGCUGCAGCCAGGAGGCCAAAGGUACAAAAGAGGGUGAGGUGAGCCAGCAACGCUUGCACAGUAGAGGACUCGGUGGAACUUUCCAGUUUCAAGCCCUGUACACCCGGAGCUGGCACCUCCGUGGGGGAGAGUCGUCAGAACACAGCACUACCAAGUCUGUUCUCUCCUUCUACCUUCACAUGGGUUCCAGGGAUCGAACUCACAGUGUCAGCUGAACUGCCCUCGUUGGAGGAAGCUCAGAAAGUUACAAGAGUCACAAGCCCCAUGGUUCUAAGAGUAAUAAGCUAUUGCUGAGGAGAGGAGACUAUUCUGUAGCCCUGCCUGCAGGUCUGCAGGGAGCUCCGUGGAUACAGCCCUCCCACUCCACCACCAUGCUGGAGAGGGAUUUGGGGGAAGGCAGCUGCCUCCGAGGCCUCAAGUUCCUGCACAACAAUAGACGGUGGGAAGGAAGAAAAUCAUGAAACCCUCAACAAAUGUUUCUUAACUGAAAAUCUCAGCCAUGUAAAUGUCAUGAUGCCUAAAAUUCCUGCUGCAGAAGGUCACAGCCAUGUCACAGCAUGAGGAUCCUGAAGGCAGAACCAGUGUGCUCCAACUUCUCCUCAAGUAACGAAAGCAGAUGAGAACCCAUCCAUCCCCUGGGAAUCUGGAGUUGGAGCUUGAAGCUGUUCCCAGGAAAAAGACUUUGAACCUUGCCCUUUGACCUGAAGUUCACAAAGAGCUUGGGCCUCAUGGUGCUUUCCAUGGAGCAUCACUGGGCUUAUGGAUCCAGCUAAGCCACCUGCCGCCAUCUGAAUCUUAAGCCCAUGUUGGUGCUGUUGGGAAGCAAAAGACCAUUAAGGGCAUGGUUCCAAAGAAGGCUGUGAGAUCAUAGUCUCACAUCUUUUCUUCUCUCAGCUUUGCUCCCCUGAUGUUGUUGCAUACGGUUUUUCUCUGCCACACGUUUUACAGACCUUAAACAGCAGUUAGACAGUGUGGUCUGGAAGCUCCUUCUUUAUACGUUAUUUCGGGGAUAUUGCUGCACUGGUGGAAAGCUGAUUAGCUCCCAGCCCAAAUGCAUAUAGGAUAAGCA
This 1307-nucleotide long non-coding RNA is filed under the name Mus musculus (house mouse). RNAcentral's name for it is "predicted gene, 39204". Lineage: Eukaryota; Metazoa; Chordata; Mammalia; Rodentia; Muridae. The record is from RNAcentral.